This 442-nucleotide ribosomal RNA is filed under the name uncultured bacterium. Its description in RNAcentral is "partial 16S ribosomal RNA". It matches the Rfam family "Bacterial small subunit ribosomal RNA", at positions 338 to 795 of the family's 1533-position model. The record is from RNAcentral.
CCUACGGGAGGCGGCAGUGGGGGAUAUUGCACAAUGGGGGAAACCCUGAUGCAGCGACGCCGCGUGUGGGAAGACGGUCCUCUGGAUUGUAAACCACUGUCCCCAGGGACGAAGCUGACGGUACCUGGGGCGGACGCUCCGGCUCACUACGGGCCAGCAGCCGCGGUUAUACGUAGGGAGCAAGCGUUGUCCGGAAUUACUGGGUGUAAAGGGAGCGUAGGCUGUGAGGUAAGUCAGCGGUGAAAUGCCCCGGCUCAACGGGGGGAAGUGCCAUUGAUACUGCCUUGCUGGAAUGCGGAUGCGGGGGGAGGAAUGUGUGGUGUAGCGGUGAAAUGCAUAGAUAUCACACAGAACACCGAUUGCGAAGGCAUCUCACGAAUCCGCGAUUGACGCUGAGGCACGAAAGCGUGGGUAUCAAACAGGAUUAGAUACCCGAGUAGUC